GAUGAACGCUGGCGGCGUGCCUAAUACAUGCAAGUCGAGCGAACAGACGAGGAGCUUGCUCCUCUGACGUUAGCGGCGGACGGGUGAGUAACACGUGGAUAACCUACCUAUAAGACUGGGAUAACUUCGGGAAACCGGUGCUAAUACCGCAUAAUAUAUUGAACCGCAUGGUUCAAUAGUGAAAGACGCUUUUGCUGUCACUAAUAGAUGGAUCCGCGUCGCAUUAGCUAGUUGGUAAGGUAACGGCUUACCAAGGCGACGAUGCGUAGCCGACCUGAGGGGGUGAUCGGCCACACUGGAACUGAGACACGGUCCAGACUCCUACGGGAGGCAGCAGUAGGGAAUCUUCGGCAAUGGGCGAAAGCCUGACGGAGCAACGCCGCGUGGGUGAUGAAGGUCUUCGGAUCGUAAAACUCUGUUGUUGGGAAAGAACAAAUGUGUAAGUAAAUAUGCACGUCUUGACGGUACCUAAUCAGAAAGCCACGGCUAACUACGUG
Molecule: ribosomal RNA, 497 nt
Filed under: uncultured bacterium
Lineage: Bacteria
Description: partial 16S ribosomal RNA
Rfam family: Bacterial small subunit ribosomal RNA
Source: RNAcentral